RNAcentral lists this ribosomal RNA (367 nucleotides) under uncultured phototrophic eukaryote. Its description in RNAcentral is "SSU rRNA". It matches the Rfam family "Bacterial small subunit ribosomal RNA", at positions 524 to 896 of the family's 1533-position model. The record is from RNAcentral.
UACGGGGGAUGCAAGCGUUAUCCGGAAUCAUUGGGCGUAAAGCGUCUGUAGGUUGUUUGAUAAGUCUGUUGUUAAAGACUGGGGCUUAACCCCAGAAAAGCAAUGGAAACUGUCUAACUUGAGUAUGGUAGAGGUAGAGGGAAUUCCUAGUGUAGCGGUGAAAUGCGUAGAUAUUAGGAAGAACACCGGUGGCGAAAGCGCUCUACUGGGCCAUAACUGACACUCAGAGACGAAAGCUAGGGUAGCAAAUGGGAUUAGAUACCCCAGUAGUCCUAGCCGUAAACGAUGGAUACUCGACGUUGCUCUUUUAGCAGUGUCCUAGCUAACGCGUUAAGUAUCCCGCCUGGGGAGUACACUCGCAAGGGUG